Molecule: ribosomal RNA, 172 nt
Filed under: Champsodon nudivittis (nakedband gaper)
Lineage: Eukaryota; Metazoa; Chordata; Actinopteri; Acropomatiformes; Champsodontidae
Description: partial 12S rRNA
Source: RNAcentral
CACCGCGGUUAUACGUAGAGACUCAAGUUGAUUAUUUCUCGGCGUAAAGAGUGGUUAAAAAUAGUAUAAUACUAAAGUCGAAUGCUUAUAUAAGCUGUCAUACGCCUUCACAAGCAAGAAGCCCCAUAACGAAAGUAACUUUAAUACAAUUGAAGCCACGAAAGCCAUGACA